RNAcentral lists this ribosomal RNA (468 nucleotides) under uncultured bacterium. RNAcentral's name for it is "bacterial SSU rRNA". It matches the Rfam family "Bacterial small subunit ribosomal RNA", at positions 8 to 521 of the family's 1533-position model. The record is from RNAcentral.
AGAGUUUGAUCAUGGCUCAGAACGUACGCUGGCGGCACGCCUAACACAUGCAAGUCGAACGAAGUAGCAAUACUUAGUGGCAGACGGGUGAGUAACAUGUGGGUAUCUACCCUAUGGCCUGGAAUAACACGAGGAAACUUGUGCUAAUACUGGAUAAGUCUUUACGGAGAAAGCUUUAUGCACCAUUGGAUGAGCCUGCACUUGAUUAGUUUGUUGGUAGGGUAAUGGCCUACCAAGACUUUGAUCAAUAGCUGAUUUGAGAGGAUGAUCAGCCACAUUGGGACUGAGACACGGCCCAAACUCCUACGGGAGGCAGCAGUGGGGAAUCUUGCACAAUGGAGGAAACUCUGAUGCAGCGAUGCCGCGUGAGUGAAGAAGGCCCUUGGGUUGUAAAGCUCUUUCGUCGGGGAAGAAAAUGACUGUACCCGAAUAAGAAGGUCCGGCUAACUUCGUGCCAGCCGCCGCGGU